GAUGAACGCUAGCGGCAGGCUUAACACAUGCAAGUCGAGGGGUAUAGUUCUUCGGAACUAGAGACCGGCGCACGGGUGCGUAACGCGUAUGCAAUCUACCUUUCACAAAGGGAUAGCCCCAGAGAAAUUUGGAUUAAUACCUUAUAGUAAUACGACUUGGCAUCAAGAUGUAUUUAAAGAUUUAUCGGUGAAAGAUGAGCAUGCGUCCCAUUAGCUUGUUGGUAAGGUAACGGCUUACCAAGGCAACGAUGGGUAGGGGUCCUGAGAGGGAGAUCCCCCANACUGGUACUGAGACACGGACCAGACUCCUACGGGAGGCAGCAGUGAGGAAUAUUGGACAAUGGGCGCAAGCCUGAUCCAGCAAUGCCGCGUGCAGGAUGAA
This 382-nucleotide ribosomal RNA is filed under the name uncultured bacterium. RNAcentral's name for it is "bacterial SSU rRNA". It matches the Rfam family "Bacterial small subunit ribosomal RNA", at positions 28 to 412 of the family's 1533-position model. The record is from RNAcentral.